RNAcentral lists this ribosomal RNA (1168 nucleotides) under Enterococcus faecium. Its description in RNAcentral is "bacterial SSU rRNA". It matches the Rfam family "Bacterial small subunit ribosomal RNA", at positions 21 to 1161 of the family's 1533-position model. Lineage: Bacteria; Bacillati; Bacillota; Bacilli; Lactobacillales; Enterococcaceae. The record is from RNAcentral.
AGCUCAGGACGAACGCUGGCGGCGUGCCUAAUACAUGCAAGUCGUACGCUUCUUUUUCCACCGGAGCUUGCUCCACCGGAAAAAGAAGAGUGGCGAACGGGUGAGUAACACGUGGGUAACCUGCCCAUCAGAAGGGGAUAACACUUGGAAACAGGUGCUAAUACCGUAUAACAAUCGAAACCGCAUGGUUUUGAUUUGAAAGGCGCUUUCGGGUGUCGCUGAUGGAUGGACCCGCGGUGCAUUAGCUAGUUGGUGAGGUAACGGCUCACCAAGGCCACGAUGCAUAGCCGACCUGAGAGGGUGAUCGGCCACAUUGGGACUGAGACACGGCCCAAACUCCUACGGGAGGCAGCAGUAGGGAAUCUUCGGCAAUGGACGAAAGUCUGACCGAGCAACGCCGCGUGAGUGAAGAAGGUUUUCGGAUCGUAAAACUCUGUUGUUAGAGAAGAACAAGGAUGAGAGUAACUGUUCAUCCCUUGACGGUAUCUAACCAGAAAGCCACGGCUAACUACGUGCCAGCAGCCGCGGUAAUACGUAGGUGGCAAGCGUUGUCCGGAUUUAUUGGGCGUAAAGCGAGCGCAGGCGGUUUCUUAAGUCUGAUGUGAAAGCCCCCGGCUCAACCGGGGAGGGUCAUUGGAAACUGGGAGACUUGAGUGCAGAAGAGGAGAGUGGAAUUCCAUGUGUAGCGGUGAAAUGCGUAGAUAUAUGGAGGAACACCAGUGGCGAAGGCGGCUCUCUGGUCUGUAACUGACGCUGAGGCUCGAAAGCGUGGGGAGCAAACAGGAUUAGAUACCCUGGUAGUCCACGCCGUAAACGAUGAGUGCUAAGUGUUGGAGGGUUUCCGCCCUUCAGUGCUGCAGCUAACGCAUUAAGCACUCCGCCUGGGGAGUACGACCGCAAGGUUGAAACUCAAAGGAAUUGACGGGGGCCCGCACAAGCGGUGGAGCAUGUGGUUUAAUUCGAAGCAACGCGAAGAACCUUACCAGGUCUUGACAUCCUUUGACCACUCUAGAGAUAGAGCUUCCCCUUCGGGGGCAAAGUGACAGGUGGUGCAUGGUUGUCGUCAGCUCGUGUCGUGAGAUGUUGGGUUAAGUCCCGCAACGAGCGCAACCCUUAUUGUUAGUUGCCAUCAUUCAGUUGGGCACUCUAGCAAGACUGCCGGUGACAA